RNAcentral lists this ribosomal RNA (465 nucleotides) under uncultured bacterium. RNAcentral describes it as "partial 16S ribosomal RNA". It matches the Rfam family "Bacterial small subunit ribosomal RNA", at positions 338 to 795 of the family's 1533-position model. The record is from RNAcentral.
CCUACGGGAGGCAGCAGUAGGGAAUCUUCCACAAUGGGCGAAAGCCUGAUGGAGCAACGCCGCGUGGGUGAAGAAGGUCUUCGGAUCGUAAAACCCUGUUGUUAGAGAAGAAAGUGCGUGAGAGUAACUGUUCACGUUUCGACGGUAUCUAACCAGAAAGCCACGGCUAACUACGUGCCAGCAGCCGCGGGAAUACGUAGGUGGCAAGCGUUAUCCGGAUUUAUUGGGCGUAAAGGGAACGCAGGCGGUCUUUUAAGUCUGAUGUGAAAGCCUUCGGCUUAACCGGAGUAGUGCAUUGGAAACUGGGAGACUGGAGUGCAGAAGAGGAGAGUGGAACUCCAUGUGUAGCGGUGAAAUGCGUAGAUAUAUGGAAGAACACCAGUGGCGAAAGCGGCUCUCUGGUCUGUAACUGACGCUGAGGUUCGAAAGCGUGGGUAGCAAACAGGAUUAGAUACCCGUGUAGUC